GAUGAACGCUGGCGGCGUGCCUAAUACAUGCAAAUCGAGCGAACGGACGAGAAGCUUGCUUUUCUGAUUUUAGCGGCGGACGGGUGAGUAACACGUGGAUAACCUACCUAUAAGACUGGGAUAACGUUGGGAAACCGGGGCUAAUACCGGAUAAUAUUUUGAACUUCAUGGUUCAAAAAUUAAAGACGGUCUUGCUGUCACUUAUCGCUGGCUCCGCGCUGCAUUAGCUAGUUGGUAAGGUAACGGCUUACCAAGGCAACGAUGCAUAGCCGACCUGAGAGGGUGAUCGGCCACACUGGAACUGAGACACGGUCCAGACUCCUACGGGAGGCAGCAGUAGGGAAUCUUCCGCAAUGGGCGAAAGCCUGACGGAGCAACGCCGCGUGAGUGAUGAAGGUCUUCGGAUCGUAAAACUCUGUUAUUAGGGAAGAACAUAUGUGUAAGUAACUGUGCACAUCUUGACGGUACCUAAUCAGAAAGCCACGGCUAACUACGUG
Molecule: ribosomal RNA, 497 nt
Filed under: uncultured bacterium
Lineage: Bacteria
Description: partial 16S ribosomal RNA
Rfam family: Bacterial small subunit ribosomal RNA
Source: RNAcentral